This is a long non-coding RNA of Temnothorax curvispinosus, 429 nucleotides long. RefSeq lists it as uncharacterized. The transcript is spliced from 2 exons. The record is from RefSeq and is a predicted model, not a curated record. Lineage: Eukaryota; Metazoa; Arthropoda; Insecta; Hymenoptera; Formicidae.
UUUUAUAACCGUGAUCAUUUUCUGCGACAUAUUUCAGAUUUGAUUCUUGGUUUAAUUUCCAGAAACUUUUCAAAAACAUGGAAAAAAAUCGUACAAACAUAUUUUCUUUAUAUUUGAUGAUCACUUUUUUACUAAUAUCAACUUUUAUCAUGAUGGUGGUCACUGAAUCAAGCGUCAUAAAUGUUCCGAUUCAAUGUCCUCCUGACCAAGUACAAGUUGGUCAAAAAUGCAAAAGACAAUACUGAAUUUAAAGACAGUUACAGAGGACUUGCAGUCACGACGAUGAGAUUGCAGUUUAUAUUUGGAAAACAAUAGAAAUGAUUACAAAUGGAUAUUGAAAGCAAAUAUAAAUAAACUACUGUAAAUGGAUAAUUUCUGAGUUUUGAUUUAUAAAGUCUGCAGCUUCAUGAAUUAAAUAUAAAAAGACAA